Molecule: long non-coding RNA, 564 nt
Filed under: Lotus japonicus
Lineage: Eukaryota; Viridiplantae; Streptophyta; Magnoliopsida; Fabales; Fabaceae
Description: long non-coding RNA (LJAP_LNC002166)
Source: RNAcentral
UCGACACCACCGCGUACCCGCUGAGGUCAUAGCACGUGUCGAGGAUCGACAGCGCGUCGGCCGCCGGGGACUUCGCCAUGCCCUUCCGGAAAGCAUCCCUGAGGACCGCAUACGCCGUCGGCGGAAGCCGCGUGAUGACGGUGCCGGAGUCGAUGAUGGCGCCGCCGGAGGAGAACGUGGAGGAGGAGAAGGCGAGGUUUACGCCGGCGACGCUUAUGCCGGUGAUGUCAAGGCCGUAGAAGGAGGCGCCGCGGGAGAUGGUGGAGAAGGGGGUAGAGGUGGCCGACGGCGCUGGUGGUGGAGGGGAGGCAGUAUGAGAAUUUCUUUUGGUAUUUUUGGGAGGUUUGUUGGACGAAGGAGAUGGGGUGGCGGCCGAGGCCUAAUAGGCCGGCGGCGCCGUUGAAGAGGCCCUGGUUGUUUUGGCCGCAGCCGAAUAGGAAGUUGUCGACGACGUCGGUGGGCGUCACCGUCAGGCGCUCACGGCUGAAGAAGCCGACGGAGAAGGAGGAGUCGCCGUAUUGGAUGCCGUACACGCAUGCCUUUGUGAUUGUGGCACAUGCCGGG